GUCCGUGCCGCCAUUCUCCACAAAUGGUGCCCGAACAGGGACAUGAACACGGCUACUCGAGCGACCGGUGGAGACCCCAGCCUAUCUAGAGACAAGGGCAGCGGAACCAGAGAGCUGCAAUCCAGGGAUAAUCACCAAGAGAGGUGAAUCGUGGAAUGUAAUUAAGAUACAGAGGUCCCUCUUCGGGGAACCAGUCAGCGGUCUGCAGUCUCCUGCCGGACUAUAUCUCGACUUGACUGGUAAUCCACUUGCAUUGGACUGGGAACACGUUAAGGUUGAAGACGCACCUCUAGAAAUGCAGACAGCAAGGACGAUUCCUUGUAUUACUUGUAAUACAAGGAAUCAUACUGUAUGGACUAAAUGUGAAUGUGUGGAAUGCAGGCGGAAGUGGUUUUGUGAUUCUCAGUUGAGAGGCAUUGUGUAAGUGGUGCAGGAAAGAUACGGUAACAACACACAGACCUCAAAUUGUGGGGUUAGUGUGUGGAAAGACUCACCUAGUCCCGCACCUUUGGCAGGUUUGGAAAAGUGAUUGGGAAAAGACAAAGUAUAAGUGUGCACGAGGGUUUAAGUGGAAACUUGGAAAGGUAGUGGAAGGAGAUGUUGAUUACGAGACACAAAUCUUCUGAAAUUUGUUAAGGCAUGAUGAGUUUUGACAAGUGAGGCCUAUUUUGUCUUGUCGUCUUUUUCACCCUUCUUACAUUAAGUAGCUUGAUUUGGGUCCCAUCCCAGCCAAAAACAAAUAUAUGGGUCACCUUGGCAAAUUACACAGGAUAAGAUACACUAUGUUUAUCAAUGUCGUCUCCAUCCAAUCCAUUUACCACUUGCCCUGUGGGGCAGCCUGCCGAUAAUUGGCCUGUUCCUUCAGCCCAACAGGGAGUGCCACAAAAGAAUGGAGUAGUAGACACUUGGGAUGGGUGGACUCCAUACCUGUCCCACGCUGAGUUGGAACCACAAGAAAUAGACCUGCUAGACUCAGUAAAAAUGGACUAUUGUCUCUAACUACUCUGGAGGCAAUAGCAGCAGAAUUAUACAAUGGUUGAAUGCUACUUUACCUAUAUUCCAGAAUACCAGUGCCUGGUGUAACUAUACAUCCCAUAAUAUAUCACGAUCCACUAAUCAACCUUUAUGGUUACCACCCGUUUUUUUCCUAAUAUGUGGUAACAGAGCAUGGCCUGGCAUUGCCUCCCACGCUCGCGGUGGACCAUGUAGUAUAGGCAGACUAACAAUAUUAACCCCAAAUAUCUCUAUGAUACUAAAUUAUACUGGAUUUCACCAUCUCCACAGGUUAAAGAGAUCUGUUCAUGCUUUUACUCCUAAUUGUAAGGAUACUGCUACAUUGUGGAAUCCAGGGAAAAUUGUUGCAGCAUCCUUUUUUACACCAGGAGUAGCUGCAGCACAAGCUCUCACAACUUUAACCAGAUUAGGAUGCUGGCUUGCCAAACAAACUAAUGCUACGUCAAUUGCUUUAAGUGGGCUUUUGUUACAUGUUGAUUCUAUUAAACACGCUACU
Long non-coding RNA from Strigops habroptila (Kakapo), 1510 nucleotides. NCBI's taxonomy places the organism in Eukaryota, Metazoa, Chordata, Aves, Psittaciformes, Psittacidae. The record is from Ensembl.